UUUGGGUUCAGAACCACAGAGAAGAUAGAGACAGGAGGCAGAUCACUCACCUUUCAACUGUGCUCUUGUAGUUCUGUAAAAAUGUGAUGUCAUCAGUUCCCAUCUCCUCCUCUAUGGCUCUGAUUGUGUUUGAAAGAGAUGAGAUCUCUCUGUUCAUCUUCUCAA
Alosa sapidissima (American shad) is the source of this 165-nucleotide long non-coding RNA. RefSeq lists it as uncharacterized. The transcript has 3 exons. The record is from RefSeq and is a predicted model, not a curated record. Lineage: Eukaryota; Metazoa; Chordata; Actinopteri; Clupeiformes; Clupeidae.